This 467-nucleotide ribosomal RNA is filed under the name uncultured bacterium. Its description in RNAcentral is "partial 16S ribosomal RNA". It matches the Rfam family "Bacterial small subunit ribosomal RNA", at positions 28 to 507 of the family's 1533-position model. The record is from RNAcentral.
GACGAACGCUGGCGGCGUGCUUAACACAUGCAAGUCGAACGGAAAGGCUCCAGCUUGCUGGAGUACUCGAGUGGCGAACGGGUGAGUAACACGUGGGUAAUCUGCCCUGCACUCUGGGAUAAGCCUGGGAAACUGGGUCUCAUACUGGAUAUGACCUUUCUCCUUUUGGGGUUUGGUGGAAAGUUUUUCGGUGUAGGAUGAGCCCGCGGCCGAUCAGCUUGUUGGUGGGGUGAUGGCCUACCAAGGCGACGCCGGGUAGCCGGCCUGAGAGGGGGAUAGGCCACAUUGGGACUGAGAUAAGGCCCAGACUCCUACGGGAGGCAGCAGUAGGGAAUAUUGUACAAGGGGCGGAAGGCUGAUGCAGCGACGCCGCGUGAGGGAUGACGGCCUUCGGGUUGUAAACCUCUUUCCGCAGGGACGAAGCGUAAGUGACGGUACCUGCAGAAGAAGCACCGGCUAACUAUGUG